Molecule: transfer RNA, 74 nt
Filed under: Candidatus Eiseniibacteriota bacterium
Lineage: Bacteria; Candidatus Eiseniibacteriota
Description: tRNA-Gln
Rfam family: tRNA
About the family: Transfer RNA (tRNA) molecules are approximately 80 nucleotides in length.
Source: RNAcentral
UGGGGAGUCGUCCAGUGGCAGGACACAUGACUCUGGAUCAUGUAACCGGGGUUCGAAUCCCUGCUCCCCAGCCA